Molecule: ribosomal RNA, 182 nt
Filed under: Chryseobacterium sp.
Lineage: Bacteria; Pseudomonadati; Bacteroidota; Flavobacteriia; Flavobacteriales; Weeksellaceae
Description: partial 16S ribosomal RNA
Rfam family: Bacterial small subunit ribosomal RNA
Source: RNAcentral
ACUCCGGUGGAUAGAGAUGGGCACGCGCAAGAUUAGAUAGUUGGUGAGGUAACGGCUCACCAAGUCUGCGAUCUUUAGGGGGCCUGAGAGGGUGAUCCCCCACACUGGUACUGAGACACGGACCAGACUCCUACGGGAGGCAGCAGUGAKGAAUAUUGGACAAUGGGUGAGAGCCUGAUCCA